AGAAAGUUAGAUCAUAAGUUCUAAGGUGAGAGCAAUGACAACCAUAUAUAUCAUAUUAGUUCCUUGUUACAGAACUUUUUUAUAUUUUUCUGUUUUAGUAACUGGAAUUCCCUGGUAGCUCAGCUGGUAAAGAAUCCUGCCACAAUGCAGAAGACCCUGGUUUGAUUCCUGGGUCAGGAAGAUCCACUGGAGAAAGGACAAGCUACCAACUCCAGUGUUCUAGGUGUCCUAGAUUUAAAGAAGGAAGAUCAGAGGGAUGAUCGUCUGGAGGUGAUCACUGAUGAUGACAAAGAGGCUGAGGAAGCAGGGGAUGGCAGAGAUGGCUUCCAUGGCUCCCCAGGAACCAUCAGUGGAACAAGUUACUGGGAAUGUGUUGAGUCUCCUUAACUGGGGAGAGGACCCAAGGAUGUUACCAUUCAUGUUGAAGAGUGUUACCCCCGUGGAGAGCACAGACCUUAGAAGAGAUAAGAGCUCCGAAGAGCCGACAGAAAGUCCUUGUCGCAAACGUGAGAAGGAAAAUCAGAACAAGUGGAAUAUUCUAGAUUGUAAAGAAGGUAACACUUCAGUGACCUCGAGAGAGCACCUUUUGGAGCAUGGUGAGCAAGUUACCCUGAUUAUAGGAAGUUGAGGAUUGCAUAGAUGGAAGAAAAUAGUUAAUACUCGUAGGCUGCUGACUUAGAUUUUAGCAGUAAGACAAGUGAAAAGGACUGAAAGAUGGAGUAGGAUCUUGGGGUGUUUUUUUGGUGUGUGUGUGUGUGUGCGCGCGUGCGCAAAUUUUAGAAGCUUGGGUGUUAUUGUACAGAAAGAAAGGAGAAAGAGAAACUGAAGCUAUGAAAAGGAGACCACUAGGUGGGUAGUGGUCUACCCAGUGGGUGCCCUACUAGCAGGGCACCUCUGGCUUUGGGAGGGCAUGUCACCCUGAGCCCAGGUAGCCUGGUGAGCCAAUGCAGAAACACUGACACCUCUUCCUUGGGAGGCCACAUUUUGGAUGGUGUCUAGACGCCUCAGCUAGCCUUCUGUAGCUAAAAAUGCAUGCUAUUACUAAUAGGUGGGGUCUUUACAAGGGUAUUGAAAUCAGGGCUGUUUAUCCCAAGCCUUUGGUUUUAGGUUACCGCGCAGAGCUACAAACUGCGCAGUGCCUCAUGUCGGGAGGUUCAUUAUUUUGUACUACAACAUAAAAGAGAUGUCUGGGGCUCCCAUGCAUGCAGUUAGCUCAUAACUCUGCCGUCCCUUCCUGCAGAACACCAUGGGGACUAUAUCUUUCUACUUUUACAUACAUCUCAGAUUCCUCUCUAGUAACUUUUCCCUGUUCCCAGGCGGCUGUUAAUGCUCCCAGUAGCUCUCCUGGUUUUGCCUGUAGACAACAUUCUCGGGAGAAGGCGGGAAACAGACACUGAGGUUUUCUUUAGGGGUGCUCCUGCCACGGCUGAGAGGUCAGAAUGCAAGGGACAGGAAUGCUCAUUCCCAAAGAUAAAAAUGUCCUGUCUGAGUACAUUUGAUACAGUCUAAUAGAAGCUAGCACAUAGCCAGUUGUGUUUAGUCUUUUUCCCAGGGAAAAUUUUCUACAGCAU
Molecule: long non-coding RNA, 1571 nt
Organism: Bos grunniens (domestic yak)
Lineage: Eukaryota; Metazoa; Chordata; Mammalia; Artiodactyla; Bovidae
Source: Ensembl